RNAcentral lists this ribosomal RNA (500 nucleotides) under uncultured bacterium. RNAcentral's name for it is "partial 16S ribosomal RNA". It matches the Rfam family "Bacterial small subunit ribosomal RNA", at positions 29 to 523 of the family's 1533-position model. The record is from RNAcentral.
AUUGAACGCUGGCGGCAUGCCUUACACAUGCAAGUCGAACGGCAGCACGGGAGCAAUCCUGGUGGCGAGUGGCGAACGGGUGAGGAAAGGAUCGGAACGUGCCCAGUCGUGGGGGAUAACGUAGCGAACUUUACGCUAAUACCGCAUACGAUCUAUGGAUGAAAGCGGGGGAUCGCACGACCCUGCGCGGUUGGAGCGGCCAAUAUCAGAUUAGGUAGUUGGGGGGGGAAAGGCUCACCACGCCGACGAUCUGUAGCUGGUCUGAGAGGACGACCAGCCACACGGGGACUGAGUCACGGCCCAGACUCCUACGGGAGGCAGCAGUGGGGAAUUUUGGACAAUGGGCGAAAGCCUGAUCCAGCCAUGCCGCGUGCAGGAUGAAGGCCUUCGGGUUGUAAACUGCUUUUGUACGGAACGAAAAGGUUUGGCCUAAUAAGCUGAGCUCAUGACGGUACCGUAAGAAUAAGCACCGGCUAACUACGUGCCAGCAGCCGCCGUAA